AUUGAACGCUGGCGGCAGGCUUAACACCUGCAAGUCGAGCGAGCGGCGGACGGGUUAGUAAUGUCUGGGAAACUGCCUGAUGGAGGGGGAUAACUACUGGAAACGGUAGCUAAUACCGCAUACCAUCAGAUGUGCCCAGAUGGGAUUAGCUAGUAGGUGGGGUAAUGCCGCACCUGGGCGACGAUCCCUAGCUGGUCUGAGAGGAUGACCAGCCACACUGGAACUGAGACACGGGCCAGACUCCUACGUGAGGCAGCAGUGGGGAAGAGUGCACAAUGGGCGCAAGCCGGAUGCAGCCAUGCCGCGUGUGUGAAGAAGGCCUUCGGGUUGUAAAGCACUUUCAGCGAGGAGGCGUUACUCGCAGAAGAAGCACCGGCUAACUAAGUGCCAGCAGCCGCGGUAAUUC
This 406-nucleotide ribosomal RNA is filed under the name uncultured bacterium. Its description in RNAcentral is "partial 16S ribosomal RNA". It matches the Rfam family "Bacterial small subunit ribosomal RNA", at positions 30 to 526 of the family's 1533-position model. The record is from RNAcentral.